Molecule: ribosomal RNA, 479 nt
Filed under: uncultured bacterium
Lineage: Bacteria
Description: partial 16S ribosomal RNA
Rfam family: Bacterial small subunit ribosomal RNA
Source: RNAcentral
GACGAACGCUAGCGGGAGGCCUAACACAUGCAAGUCGAGCGGUAUUGCUUCUUUGGAAAUGAGUGCGCGGCGUACGGGUGCGUAACAAGCGUGCAACUUGCCUUUAUUUGGGGGAUAGAUAUUCGCAAGGAAGAUUAAUACUCAAUAAUAUAUUGAUCGGCCUCGUUUAAUAUUGAAAGAUCCGGUGGAUAGAGAUGGGUAGGCGCAAGAUUAGCUAGUUGGUGAGGUAACGGCUCACCAAGGAGAUGUUUUUUAGGGGGCCGGAGAGGGUGAUCCCCCACACUGGUACUGAGACACGGACCAGAGUCCUACGGGAGGCAGUAGUGAGGAAUACUGAUCAAUGGGUGCAAGCCUGAACCAGCCAUCCCGCGUGAAGGACGGCUGCCCUAGGGAUUAUGAACUUCGUGUGUAUAGGGAUAUACCUACCCGCGGGAGGGUAGCUGAAGGUACUAGACAAAGAAGCACCGGCUAACUCCGUG